CCAUGUUAAUUGACAAAUUGAUUAUAAAUUAUAUACGCUGAAUAUGUAAUAAAAUUUUAUACUAUUACUGUAUUUAUACAAUUUAACUUGUUACAAUAAUUUACAACAUCAAUACUUAUUCUAAAGAUUUAUGUGUUGUAAUCUUUAAGUAACUAGAUUUUGCAAGUACUUUAUAGUUUAUACAAUGUCAUCGGUGCAUUUAACUUAUCUUGACAAAUUACAUCGACAUUUUGUGAAAUAAUUCUCAAAAUCUCAAUUUUAUUUGAACCAUUGGGCUCUAUAGCACUCCUCAUUGAAUGACCCAACAAUCACUCUACUAUUAAAUUGUCUCCAGCCCAAUGGCCUUCUAAUCCAGACCCAGUAUUCCAUCUAUACCUCUGUAAAUUAUGAGAUGCUGGAAUUUUCGUACAAUUCGCUAUUCUUGAAUACAGUGUUUACUUCAAUGAUCCGAUCUCAUUAGAUUUGGGAUUAUUCUUCUGCAAUAUAGGGUCCAGGAAUUUCUCUAAAAACAAUAAAAUUAAACUUCAUAAAAGUACAAUAUGGGGUAGAUCAAAAACAUUAUGCACACUAGAUUAUUCUGGAAACGACUUAGUAGUUCAUUUAAUCAUCAUUUCACUCAACAUAUAGUUUUGUUUGAUGAGACGAGCAUAUUGUUAAAAUUUUACAUACCUUGUCCAUAGUCUCGAUCCCUUCAUGCUGCAGAACAUUCUCACCACUUUGCACUGAGCAUUGACAAAUUAAACCAUAUAUAUAUGUACCAAUAAUUCCUAUGGAGAUUAGAAGUCAAAUUUUUAAAGAUGACAAUAUUGCUCAAAGUUAAUUUCUCCAUCCGUAAAAGGCAGUGGCGGGGUUCUACUGGGUUGAAGAAGAAGAGAGGAGUCAAGNNNN
RNAcentral lists this long non-coding RNA (888 nucleotides) under Nicotiana tabacum (common tobacco). RNAcentral describes it as "long non-coding RNA (NTAB_LNC012886)". Lineage: Eukaryota; Viridiplantae; Streptophyta; Magnoliopsida; Solanales; Solanaceae. The record is from RNAcentral.